RNAcentral lists this long non-coding RNA (406 nucleotides) under Capsella rubella. Its description in RNAcentral is "long non-coding RNA (CRUB_LNC002283)". The record is from RNAcentral. Lineage: Eukaryota; Viridiplantae; Streptophyta; Magnoliopsida; Brassicales; Brassicaceae.
UCGUUUGAACCGAUGCUAAGGUAUGUGAGACAGUCCAUCAUGCUAAAUAUCACUGAAGAACAAUCAGAGCCUGAUGGUCCUGGUGCUGGAGCUGGAGACUUUGCAUGGUGUGAUUUGGUACGUGCAUGGAUUGGUGUAACAAGUGAUGAUGAUGAUAUGAGUAGUAAUAAGAUUGAAAGAAGAAGAGAUUGCUUCAUUAUUGCUAGUUUCUUUUGGUUUUUCUUUCUUUCAAGAUCGUAUGAGUUUUUUUUUUUUUUUUUGGCUAGGUUUAUAAUAGAAGCUAGAUUGUGGUUUUUAUAUAUGGGAAGUGAAAAAAAAGAUAAGAAUUGUGUUGUUUGGUUUUUGAAUUUGAAGUCCGGUUCUUGUUGCUUAAAUCUUGGAGAUUAGAGAUUAUUGUUUGAAUAAG